RNAcentral lists this transfer RNA (84 nucleotides) under Daphnia magna. RNAcentral describes it as "tRNA-Ser". It matches the Rfam family "tRNA". Rfam says of the family: Transfer RNA (tRNA) molecules are approximately 80 nucleotides in length. Their secondary structure includes four short double-helical elements and three loops (D, anti-codon, and T loops). Further hydrogen bonds mediate the characteristic L-shaped molecular structure. tRNAs have two regions of fundamental functional importance: the anti-codon, which is responsible for specific mRNA codon recognition, and the 3' end, to which the tRNAs corresponding amino acid is attached (by aminoacyl-tRNA synthetases). tRNAs cope with the degeneracy of the genetic code in two manners: having more than one tRNA (with a specific anti-codon) for a particular amino acid; and 'wobble' base-pairing, i.e. permitting non-standard base-pairing at the 3rd anti-codon position. The record is from RNAcentral. Lineage: Eukaryota; Metazoa; Arthropoda; Branchiopoda; Diplostraca; Daphniidae.
GCAGACAUGGCCGAGUGGUUAAGGCCACAGACUUGAAAUCUGUUUCCAUCUUGGAGCGUAGGUUCAAAUCCUGCUGUCUGGGCG